GCCUCCAAUUGUCUCUCGUAAACAAAGCGGGAGACUUUUCUGGAGUGUAAGGAGCUCCAGGAACAAGGGGUGGGCAUGACUGCCGCCAGCCGUCGCGGUAAUAGCACCACACCAAGUGGUGGCCACGAUUAUUGUGCUUANAGCGUCCGUAGUCGACCUUGUGAGUCCGCUGUGAAAUCUGNCCGGUCUAUCGUCAGAGUCGCAACGGAUACCACUAGGCAUCNUACCGGAGGGCGCCGAGGCUAUUCNCGGGGUAGCGGUGAAAUCCUAAAUUCCUGGGAAGAGCCCCAGUGGCGAAAGCGCUUGGCGACUUCUGGUGCGAUGGUGACGGACGAAAGCCAGGGGAGCAAACGGGAUUAGAUACCCCCGUAGUCCUGUCUGUAAACGAUGCCCGCCUGAUGUCAGCAGUCCUCCGAGGACAGCUGGUCUCUAAGGAAAAACGAUAAGCGGGCCGCCUUGGAAGUACGGUAGCAAGGCUGAAACUUAAAGGAAUUGGAGUG
This 500-nucleotide ribosomal RNA is filed under the name uncultured Halobacteriales archaeon. RNAcentral describes it as "bacterial SSU rRNA". It matches the Rfam family "Archaeal small subunit ribosomal RNA", at positions 377 to 872 of the family's 1478-position model. Lineage: Archaea; Methanobacteriati; Methanobacteriota; Halobacteria; Halobacteriales. The record is from RNAcentral.